RNAcentral lists this long non-coding RNA (573 nucleotides) under Monodelphis domestica (gray short-tailed opossum). RNAcentral's name for it is "lncRNA (ENSMODG00000042375.1)". Lineage: Eukaryota; Metazoa; Chordata; Mammalia; Didelphimorphia; Didelphidae. The record is from RNAcentral.
CAUCAUCAUUAUCACCAUCAUUAUUAUAAUUAACAGCAAGACUAGUUUGUCUGGGUUGGAGAGUGCCAAAAGGGGAGUCAUGUAAUUAGCUUGAAAAGAUGAAUAGACCUCCCCUCCCAGUGGAGUUGGGAAUGCAUAACUAAACUAGCCAUAGUGGACCUUGAGACUAAAGAAAUGAAGAUGAGGAAUCCGAGGUCUAGAGGCUUUAAGCGACUUGCUGAGGGUCACAUCCAACUAGGAAGUAUAUGAGGGAUCUUCAUGUGGAACCAUGGAUUUAGGUCCCUUUCCCUACCAGUACUCUCAAAUGAAGAUCAAGUCUAAAGGCGAGGGGCACCCUGAACCGUGCACUGGAUCCGCUCUAAGCCUGUUGUUCAGGCAUGUCUGACUCUUCUUGACCCCAUGGACAAGAUUCUUCUAUUUUCCACUCUCUCUUCAAGUCAGGAAAUUGAGACCAAGAGGGAAAGAAGUGACUUCUUAGGUCACCCAAGUCAGGGUUUUGAAAGUAGGUUUGAAACUUAUAAUAACUUCCCAUUUCAUUUGAACCUACAUUAGCUUUCUCUCUUUUAAUUAUUU